This is a long non-coding RNA of Anolis carolinensis (green anole), 3218 nucleotides long. RefSeq lists it as uncharacterized. The transcript is spliced from 3 exons. Lineage: Eukaryota; Metazoa; Chordata; Lepidosauria; Squamata; Anolidae. The record is from RefSeq and is a predicted model, not a curated record.
UUAAAAAUUAUUUUAUUGAUUAUCCUUUAGGACAUAUCACCAUACCGAACCAAACAACAAAGCUUGAUACAACUUCAUUUGAAGCUGUUGUUGCUGAAAUUAGGGUUGGGUGAAGGUACUGGUUUGAGCAUUGGACUCUGGAGACCAAGGUUUGAAUCCCUGCUCAACUAUGGAAGCCCAUUGGUGACUUGGGCAAGUCCCACUUUCUCAUCCUCAGGAUUUCACCUCAGACCUACAUAGAAAUAAACACAUGAACAGGAAUGAAUGGCUGCACCUAAAGCAAGUAAAAUAGAAAAUGUUGCAGUUCUCUGUAGUGAUGACAAAUAUUGGUGUCCGUGCACUCUCCUUGUACAUGCACAGUACUGUACCAUAUGAAGGAGAAUUACUAAUGGGUUACAACAUGUGGCAUAGCAGGAUCCACCACAGGAAGAACAAGAGACCCAUCAACAAUUAAUACGCAGCUUGAAUAAACCAUACUGGGGAACAAAGGAAAUAAAGCCUGAUUGCGCAUUUUGAAAUGGUGUUCAAUUUCCAUGCCAUGAUACAAUUGCAAGUGCUGCAGGGAAAACAAAAUUAAAUUUUAAGGACUUUUCUCCCCAAUCUCUCAUCCCUCCCCCCUCAUUCUUCCUCAGUUUUUGUCUUGAAUUUUUCCCUUCCUCCCUUCUAAAUUGUCCAUUAUUUGUCCCCUACCCACCAUGUCUGUCUUUCAGAACUUGGCGAUCUUGUAGUUUGCAUUCUCUUCCAUAUCUGGAGAUUGCUCUCAAAGAAAAAGACAAGAAAUGUCAUGUGAUGCAUCCAUCCCUAGAUGAGGCCAUAUGCCCCAGCAAUAAAUUGACAGUGGCUAUUACUUGUUGUGCUUAAAUGUUUAAUAUGAUGCAAAAACUGCUCUAUUAUAUCGCCAAUUUUAACAUCAUUUCACUAUCAUUGACAGAAAAAUCUAGUGGAUUAGCAUAAUGAAUUUAUUUUUAAUUUGGUGAUUCCAGGAUCUGACUUUGAGUUUUUCAGUUAAUGAAAAAUAAAGUACAUACAUUUAAUUAAUGAAUUACAUUGUUAUAUGUACAUUUAAUAAUUAGAUUAUUUGAUUAGUUUCAUGGAAUUAGUUUCAGAGCAGAAUGCCUGAAUGCCAAAUAUUUACCUAAUUUUGCUUGAUUCUUUUUUUUACCUCAAAGACAGGGCGACUAUAAUUGGUGGAAUAAAGUUUACUUUUGGAAUUUAAACCACAAAAUGUGCUGUAGCCAAUGAGGAAAGAAGGUAAAUGCGUUGCAGUUUAUAGCAGAAGCACUUUAGUUCCUUAAUAGCCAGGUUCCCUGUCACCAACAUAUUACUGUACUUUAAAGUCAAUUUAAAUUUUAUAAUAAUCAGGUAUAAAUAAGGCAUUUUCAUGUUUUAAUGAGCUGAGCAAAUUUUAAUGAAUUUUUAUGUAAAAUAAAUAUUUAAUUAAUUUGAAUGACUUUAUGUAGUGAAUUUCAUGUAUUUCGAACUAAAGAGAACCUAAACAAGACCAUCAAGAACUUCAGCAUAACUCUUGAUUAUUUGUCCAACCCGAUAAACCUCCAUAGCAGUUGCCCACCCCUACCUUAUUUAUUUACAUAUCUGAAAAUCCUCUUUUGGUGGACCACUCUUUUGUUACCAGCAUAUCAAGAAUAAAGGAGGAUUAAUUUUCUUUUCAACUCAUUACAGUUUAAGAGAUGGUAAUGGAAACGCUAGAGCCUGGGCAAUUGGCUAAACAUCUGAGCUUGGUUACCCUUAAAGAUGACCCACAGAGAAUAUUACAUUACACUAUCUUUCUCUAGUUUCCAAAUAGUGGUAUUGAUAUACUAGUCAGCCUAAAGGUAUCAGUCAUCAAAAUGCUUAUUGACUCUUCAGAAUAGCUCUAUCAAUAUCCAAUUUGCUGUCUGAUCUAAUGCAGAGUCUAUGCAAUGUCAGAGUAUCGAUGCCUAUUUUUCAAAAUCAUGAACAAUACUUUUUUCUCCUUCUGCUUUGUGGAGGGCUUGUAUUUUAUCCAUACUCUUUACAAUAUUUACAAUUGUGAUAUAUUUAUUUUUCUAUUUUACUAGAAGAAAGCUAGUUGCAAAUCACAUUAAAAAGUAAAAGUGAAGUCCUAGUCCAUCAACAUAUGCUUAAAGAUAGUGUACACUGAAAGAAUAUUUACUUUUGAGGUCAGGUCACAUCUUCUGAUUGCAAGAAGGAUGGCUUAAUAAAUACUUUUGGAGUGUAGUGAUUAAACAAGCUGUGUUUUCUUUCCUUUGAUUGAUGUGAUUAAGCAUGUAACUAAAACUGAUUUAGAACUCAAUUGACAGACCGAGGCUUUUAAACUUGAACACACCUAUCUGUAUUUUAUAAUGCGUUUUAUGAAUGUCUUAUGUAAGUUAUUUUUUUAACUGAUGUAUAGUGUAUUGUACAGUUUUUAUAUGUGUGUUUUAUUAUAAGCCACCCUGAGUCCCCUGUUGGGUGAGAAGGGCGGGAUAAAAAUGUUGUAAUAAAUAAAUAAAUAAAUAAGUAAGAGAACGUCCCAUAAUAGAGAUGAACUAAUACCAUGGAGACACCUGAUAGGAAAACAAAUUCUUUUCAUGCAUUGCUAGUUAUGUGUGCUGGAUGGGUGUAAGUGAGCAUACAUUUUAUUUGGUUAUUUAUUUAUUACUUUGCCAUAUGGCAAAACAGCUACUCAGUCUUCAAGAACUUUUACAGUGUGGUUUUAGGGAAUUUAAUCUUAGAGAAACAUACAUAUUAUAGACAGGGAUCUAUAUGGAAAAUGAAUUAAAUUAAUGUUAAAAAAAUAGAAUAUAUUAAGCAGUUAGCUUUUGACUCAAUAACAUCAUGGGAUGGUUUUCGUGGGACUCUUAUGGUGCUUAGUUUUGUAAGCAUAUAGAAAUGAAGUCUGAAGCCCAUAGGACAAAAUCCUUAGAGUUGUAGACAAAAACCUAUGCAACUGAUUGAAUUUUCUCAUGGCAGUGACCCUAUGUUUCAUGCUUCAACUCUUGUUUUCCCAUUCCCAUGUCUGUUUAAAUAUAGGAUACAUACUUGGAUGAUGUCUAAGAAAUCAUUUGGAAUAUAAUCUGAGGAUAAUUGGCCACUAGUACAACUUGGCAUGCAAUAAAGUCUAACUGUAGUUCUGCAGCCAGGAAUGAGUGGUGGCUGCCCAAACUUCUCUGAGUAUGCUGAAAAUUGGGGAGAAAGAUGGCUUUUCCCCCUCCUGGCUGCAGGCAGAUAUUGGCUUG